AGAGCUUGCUCUUUAUGAAAUCCAGUGGCAAACGGGUGAGUAACACGUAAACAACCUGCCUUCAGGAUGGGGACAACAGACGGAAACGACUGCUAAUACCGAAUACGAUUCUUGAGUCGCAUGACACAAGAAAGAAAGGGUGGCCUCUACUUGUAAGCUAUCGCCUGAAGAGGGGUUUGCGUCCGAUUAGGUAGUUGGUGAGGUAACGGCCCACCAAGCCGACGAUCGGUAGCCGGUCUGAGAGGAUGAACGGCCACAUUGGAACUGAGACACGGUCCAGACUCCUACGGGAGGCAGCAGUGGGGAAUCUUCCGCAAUGGGCGAAAGCCUGACGGAGCAACGCCGCGUGAGUGAAGACGGCCUUCGGGUUGUAAAACUCUGUGAUUCGGGACGAAAGAUAAGUAGACGAAUAAUCUGCAUAAGUGACGGUACCGAAAAAGCAAGCCACGGCUAACUACGUGCCAGCAGCCGCGGUAAUACGUAGGUGGCAAGCGUUGUCCGGAAUUAUUGGGCGUAAAGCGCGCGCAGGCGGCUACUUAAGUCCAUCUUAAAAGUGCGGGGCUUAACCCCGUGAUGGGAUGGAAACUGAGAAGCUGGAGUGUCGGAGAGGAAAGUGGAAUUCCUAGUGUAGCGGUGAAAUGCGUAGAGAUUAGGAAGAACACCGGUG
RNAcentral lists this ribosomal RNA (667 nucleotides) under uncultured bacterium. Its description in RNAcentral is "bacterial SSU rRNA". It matches the Rfam family "Bacterial small subunit ribosomal RNA", at positions 75 to 714 of the family's 1533-position model. The record is from RNAcentral.